UGUUUCAGAAUGAGGAUAACGGAUUGGAAAAAUUGAUGGUACAAUCCUAAUAGUGUUGUCUAAAUACUGGUGCCAGAAGACUCGGUAAGGCCAGAAACGCUAACGUUAGUAGUCUUGAUCAGGCGUAAAGGGUUAGUAGGCUGCUUUGUAAUUAUAAUAUACUCUCUAGUUUUCAAUUAACUGUAUCUAUCAUCUAUCAUCUUCCCAUCUACCAUCUUUGAUGCUUGAUGAGGGAUGAGAUGGCGAUGGUGAUAUGGGUUAAACUAGUAAUUUCUAAUUAGCCUAUAGAGCUAUAAUUUGUUUUAGUUUUAUUUUAAUAAUAGAAUAAAGAACAAAUAAAGGAAAUUUAGAGGUAGAAAUAAUCAUAUACAAAGAUAGAAUCUUAUCCAAGAUAGUAAGAGAUAUGCUUAAUGUAAGGAUUAAAUCUAUAAAUAUUAAGUGGAAGACUAAGGGCGAAAGCUAUAUGUCUAGGAAAGAUUGACGCUGAGGAACGUAGGUUAGGAUUGAAAAUAGGAUUAGAGACCCUCGUAUCCCUAUCUGUUAACGAUGAAUGGUUAGUUAUUCAGUUAAUUAUAUCUUUUAUUCUGGAUAUUCUAUAUAUUUCAGUUUAAUUGUCAUAUAUCAUACAAAACUGGGUAGCGUAGCUAACGCAAUUACCAUUCCGCCUUGUAAGUACGACUGCAAAGUUGAAAACAAAAAAAUUAGUCGGUUUUGAAGCAAACGAAGUGAAGCAUG
This 735-nucleotide ribosomal RNA is filed under the name Brevicellicium sp. RNAcentral describes it as "partial small subunit ribosomal RNA". It matches the Rfam family "Bacterial small subunit ribosomal RNA", at positions 431 to 941 of the family's 1533-position model. Lineage: Eukaryota; Fungi; Basidiomycota; Agaricomycetes; Trechisporales; Hydnodontaceae. The record is from RNAcentral.